Molecule: ribosomal RNA, 465 nt
Filed under: uncultured bacterium
Lineage: Bacteria
Description: partial 16S ribosomal RNA
Rfam family: Bacterial small subunit ribosomal RNA
Source: RNAcentral
CUACGGGGGGCUCCAGUGGGGAAUAUUGGACAAUGGGGGAAACCCUGAUCCAGCAAUGCCGCGUGUGUGAAGAAGGCCUGCGGGUUGUAAAGCACUUUCGGUUGGGAGGACUGCUUCUAGCACUAAUAUUGUUGGAAGUUGACGUUACCUUCAGAAGAAGCACCGGCUAACUCCGUGCCAGCAGCCGCGGUAAUACGGAGGGUGCAGGCGUUAAUCGGAAUUACUGGGCGUAAAGCGCGCGUAGGCGGCUAGAUCAGUCGGGUGUGAAAGCCCCGGGCUUAACCUGGGAACUGCAUCCGAUACUGUCUAGCUUGAGUACAGGAGAGGAGAGUGGAAUUCCACAUGUAGCGGUGAAAUGCGUAGAUAUGUGGAGGAGCACCAAUGGCGAAGGCAGCUCUCUGGCCUGAUACUGACGCUGAGGUGCGAAAGCGUGGGGAGCAAACAGGAUUAGAUACCCCCGUAGUC